UUUUUCCCCGUUUUUCGGUUUACUCCUGUGGUUUGACUUUUUUGUGUGUGUGUGGGUUUUUUUUGUUGUUGUUUUUCCCCAAAUAUAUGCAGCGGAGCUGACUUUCAUGGGCUUUUUCAGUGUCCCCCCCUAGAACCCAAGAGCAUUUGCAGCGUUCACAGUAGGCUCUGGCAAGGAUUUUCAUUGAUCUGCCACCCUGCCUGUGAAGAACCUCCACCUUUUAUUUUUGGUUUCAAUACAAACUUAUUUAACCCCUCAGCUCCGGCGAUGGAGAUGAGGAACAGCUCCUGGCCCUUUCUUCGACCUGCUCAUGGGUUUGCAGACCUCCACUGCAAUCCUUUUACAUCAUUCCUUCUCCCGGCUGAAGAGCUGCGGGUUGCUCAUGAGGGCCUCUCUCCAUACAUCGUUCUGUACCUCUUACCCUUGAUGCCGUCUUGAACAUCAUCCUGAUCUAGCAGAUCCUUUUUGAGAUUAAGAAAUACACAAUAUUUAAGAUGUAGGCAAACCAUGCAUUUGUACUGUGCACAAUGAUUCUUUUCUCUUAAUAUUUUAUGAGGAAUUUUUGAGGACAGAGAUGAUGUUUCCGUGGAACUGCCUGUCAUAACCCCAAGAGUUUACUCUUGCAAUGCCCAGCUCAGAGUCCACCAUUUUACAAGAUUGUUUCUCUGUGUGCGUAAUUUCACAUUUACCUACACUGCAUUUCUUAUAUUGCCCAGACAGCCUUAUAAUGUCCCUGCAUAGUUCUUCAUGGUCUUUCUUCUUAGUGACUUGAGUAAAUCAAUACCACUGGUGAAUUUUGCUAUUUCACUCCAUUCCCAGGUAAGAUAUGAGUACACUGAACAUCACACAUCCCAGCACUGACCUUUAGAGAACCCCAUACCAUCCACCACCUCCCUCCAUUGUGAAAACUUGUCAUUUAUUCCUGUAUUUUGCAUUUUAUCUUCUAAGCAAUUACUGAGCUAUACCAGGGCUUUCCCGCUUGUUAUCGCUGCUUAGUCUCCUUAAAAGCCUUUGUCAAGAGCCUUUUAGAAAUCCAGUCAGAUAUGGGAAUUAGAUCACCCUUAUCCACAUUUUUGAUGACCCUUUCAGAGACCUCCAAGAGGUUUGUUUAAGGCAGGUCUUUACAGAAGCAAUGUUGACUCUUCUCAGAUAGAUUGCAUUAAUCCUAGUGUCCUUUAGUUCUGACCCAAUUAGCAUCUCUGUAUAUGCACAGUACAAGCACAAGUUUGCAGACCUCUAGUUCUCCAGACCCUGCAUUGAAGUUUAGUGUCACAUUUGCCACCCUCCCCUCUUCAGGUGACAAUGUUUUAAAUGGGAGAUUACACGCUGCUGUUGAUAAUUCAGUGGCUGCAUCCUCCAGUGAGGACUGAAGGACGCAGAUGCUCACACACAGGCACAUUGCUACCUGAAUGCCAUGAUAGUGAAAAAGGCUUAUAGUAAAAACUAAAGGUAUAAGGACAUAGGUGCAUACAUAAAUGACUGCAGACUUGUAAGCUGGUGCUAUUAAUGUAAGUAAGAAGCUAUCCUACUAAUUAACUAUAUGUGGCCAUGACUCUCAUUGCAAAUAUAUGUGCCUGAAAGCACAUAAGAGUGUGGUACAGAAAAAAACCCACCAAGGUCUUUGACCCAGGGAACUGUUUGCCAUUCUCUUUAUCUGCAGCCAUCUGUUUUCUUUCUUUCAUUGUUUGCUGUACAUCCUUUUGAUCAAGGAUGGCCUUUUUAAUGCAUGUUUUUCACUUGCCACUGGCAUCUGGCAUGGGAAGGAGGAAGGAAGACAGCUCUGAGCAGGGGAAUCGGUGCAGCUAUGCAGGGCAUGUGCUAGAACCGCAGUGCAGCUCCAUUUUGGCUCUUUGCGGGAGGGAGCAAAGGAAAGCUGCACCUCCGACACCUGACUGAAGCAACUGUGCAUGGACCUGCAUCGCUGCUCACACCCACCAGCCUGCCCCGUGGGUGUAAGCGCCCAUACUCCCACAGGCAGGCUUACUUUAUGUGACCUGUGAACUGAAAAGGGCUAUGUCACCACUGGUAUUACCUCAUUCCUCUGCCAAUGAGUGACCAACGUACAUCGCAAGGCUGUGCUGAACAUGUAGGAAGAACCAACAAAAACAGAUCCUGUGAUCAGUGUGAUAUCCUUGGGAAAGCUCGAGGAAGUGUGACAGCGUAUCUGAAACUCUGCUUGUAGGGUGAUGCAAAACUGAGGAUGUUUUUCUAUAUACAUAGCCUGUGGACAGGACAACUAGGGCCACUGAAGCCAGUGGGAACUGCAGAUACUCAGCACCUCCGGCAACUGGGCCACAUGCUUAUGUGAGACCUUGUUAUUAUACAAAAAGGCUCUUAUUUCUACUCUUUUUUCCCUGCCACAUAAGCUGACCUAGUUUACAAUCUGCCUCUGUACAGAUGUGUCCUCUUCCAUGGGCAGAAAGAGGACAGAGCCAUUGCCAACAAAGAGAGCCUGGAGUUAGGAAAGGGAAGAGAUACAGGGCUGCUCAGGAUGGGGAGAUAAAGAAAAGGAAAUGAAAGACAAAGAUGUUUGUAGGAGAGGAGAGAGAAAAGAGAAGCCAUACGUGUAACUGAUGCUCCUGCUUUAUCCAGGAGCCAGAGAGUUACUCAGAGUCUUUGCUUUGGGACUUCGUCACUAUAUUGGAGCCCAGUUUCAGUAAAGCAGAUUUUUUUAUUGUUAUACAGCACACCUUCGAAUGGAGAGCAAUUCAAAGGGGAUACCUGUUCCUAUUAGGAAGAAACUCUUUCAGGCUGCUGUUUUAUAGCCCAGCACACUGUUCUUGUUCUUGAUGAACUCCCAGAGAGGCUGAAAGCAGUACAGAAUACAGAAAGGAAGGAAAAUACUAUUACAAUGAUGCUGGAUAUGCUAGGGAUUUUUAUAACAUUUAUAAAAUGAAAUGCAGUCUGAAAGGUGCUGCCUGAUCUGGUAUGCUCCACACUGAAUUUCUCUUGAGUAUGAAAAAUGAGUUUUGCUUGGGAUGCAGCUUUUUAAGUGUCUUAGAUUAGCUGUCAGAAAUUUUGUGAUUAAAUUUGUUUUCCUUUC
Phalacrocorax carbo (great cormorant) is the source of this 3043-nucleotide non-coding RNA. The record is from RefSeq and is a predicted model, not a curated record. Lineage: Eukaryota; Metazoa; Chordata; Aves; Suliformes; Phalacrocoracidae.